This 868-nucleotide long non-coding RNA is filed under the name Ananas comosus (pineapple). Its description in RNAcentral is "long non-coding RNA (ACOM_LNC025839)". Lineage: Eukaryota; Viridiplantae; Streptophyta; Magnoliopsida; Poales; Bromeliaceae. The record is from RNAcentral.
AGAGAGAGAGAGAGAGUAGGUCAUGUGUGUUAUUAGCAGUAUGGAGGUCUCCGUAUUCUUUAGUCUUUUUUGAUGAUAGAGCUUCGGAAAUCGACGAUCGACUCCGUUAGAUUUGAUUUACCGUAUUUGAAGUAUCUAGUCUAGAAAAUAAAUUUUACUGUUUUUCGAUACCAUUUACCUAGCCAUCAAAAGAAUUCAAAAUCAAUGACUAAAAAUAAAAAUUUUACAAAAGAUUGUGAUAUAGUACUAAAAUUUUCAAUACCGUUAAAAAAUUUUUGAUUAAAAUUUCAUCUGAUUUGAAUAUUUAUAUACCGUUAAACUUACAAACGAUAUACAUCAACCAUUAAAAAUUAUUGGUUUUGAAUCCUUUCAAUCGCUAGGUAAAUAAUAUCGAAAGAUAUGAAUAAUAGGGAUGUGAAUAAUAGAUCGAUUUGUACGGUGAGAAAGAUAUGAAUGAUCGAUAUUUUAUAUUUUGAAGAGGCAUUUGCAAUAUUUUAAAAUUUUAAAGGACUAUAUUUGAAAUUAUCUUUUUUUUCUAUACUAAAAACAAAAAAAAAAUCUUUAUACAAUUUGUCAUGCCCCGGAUAUCACGUUUCCCGGGCACGCCGACAAAUCCGCCGUAUACAAAGGAAUUAUCCCUGUAUACGAAGCGAUAGCUGUACCUGUGAAAAUAUAAUACUACAACCAGUAGUUUAGAGCUGUAAGGAACAAAACAUAACCUGGUAGCAAAUAAAAGUUCACUAUACAUACAACAUCUGUAUACAAAAGCUUGCCUCGCAAGAAACACUAAUGACAGUAUGUAUAAGAACUCACAAAGUACAACUACCUGUAGCUGGUACUCCACUAGCUUUGGCUCGUCUAGUAGGGC